UACAGAGGUCCCGAGCGUUGUUCGGAUUCACUGGGCGUAAAGGGCGCGUAGGCGGCCUGUGCAAGUCAGUUGUGAAAUCUCCGGGCUUAACUCGGAAAGGUCAACUGAUACUGCUCGGCUAGAGUGCGGAAGGGGCAACUGGAAUUCUUGGUGUAGCGGUGAAAUGCGUAGAUAUCAAGAGGAACACCUGCGGCGAAGGCGGGUUGCUGGGCCGACACUGACGCUGAGGCGCGAAAGCUAGGGGAGCGAACAGG
Molecule: ribosomal RNA, 254 nt
Filed under: uncultured bacterium
Lineage: Bacteria
Description: partial 16S ribosomal RNA
Rfam family: Bacterial small subunit ribosomal RNA
Source: RNAcentral